Crotalus tigris (Tiger rattlesnake) is the source of this 158-nucleotide small nuclear RNA. RefSeq annotates it as U1 spliceosomal RNA. The record is from RefSeq and is a predicted model, not a curated record. Lineage: Eukaryota; Metazoa; Chordata; Lepidosauria; Squamata; Viperidae. The transcript has a single exon.
AGAUUUACCUGGCAGGGGAGACACCUUGAUCACGAAGGAGGUUUUCCCAGGGUGAGACUCAUCCAUUGCACUUCGGGUGUGCUGACCCCUGCGAUUUCCCCAAAUGCGGGAAACUCGACUGCAUAAUUUGUGGUAGUGGGCCAGGUGGGCGGGGCCAC